UUGCAUGUCAAUGCGACAUAUGUAAAAGUUGUAUAAUUUAACCUUAAGUUCUUCUAUAAAAUAUUAUACCCGGUACUCGAAGAGUAAAUAGUAACGAGAGUAAAUAUAGAUAGAGUAAAUAUGUGACGCACAGCAGGAAGCGUUUCCCACCCCAUAAAGUAUAUAUAUUCUUGAUCAGCAUCAAUAGCCGAGUCGAUUGAGCCAUGUCUGUCUGUCCGUCUGUCCGUCCGUCUUGCUGAGCGCCUAGGACUCAGAGACUAUAAAAGCUAGAGCCACCAAACUUUGCAUCCAUACUUCUGUAUGCUCACACUGUUACAAGUGUAUUUCACAAAUAAGCCACGCCCCCUCAAAAGGGCGAAAACCUCCCAAAUCUACAAUUUUGAAGAUAAAAGAAAACUAUUCAUUCCGUAGGGAAUGACCAUAUGAAUCAGAUCAUCAAAUUGGUAUCCGAUUGGAUCAUUAUUAUAGCCACAAUGAAGAAAUAAAUUUCCAGUUGCUAAACCCACCUCGUCCCGCAGCUUAUAUUUGUUUUUUGCACAUUCUCUCAUUCACACUCUGCUUCUGCAUUAUGCGGCCUUUGCCUCUGCCGUCCCUCUGUCCCUCUGAUGAGGGAAAAAUUUAAAAUUUGAGAAAUAAUGUACAUGCGUAGUGCUGAGUGCCGGGUAUAAAAGUUGUGACGCGUAAGAAGCGUCUCACGCAUCCCUUUCGAGCUCAAAUACAAAAUACCCUAUUAACUCUUCGAGUACCGGGUAUAAAAACAAAGAGGAACAAAGUGAGGCUCAAGUUGGUCCAUUCUUUGGAUUCUGAAUUUUGGAUUAUGUAGCUCUUAUAGUCUCUGAGUACUAGGUACUGUUGAUGCUGGUCUAGAGUAUACAUAUUUACUUAAUAGUGUCGGAAACGUUUCUUUUUGCACAAUUGGCACAUUGCAAUGGUUGGUUAGACCACAAACCGAAUAAACCUCUUAACUCUUCCUGUGCCGGG
RNAcentral lists this long non-coding RNA (981 nucleotides) under Drosophila guanche. Lineage: Eukaryota; Metazoa; Arthropoda; Insecta; Diptera; Drosophilidae. The record is from RNAcentral.